AACGGGAUUGCCUUAGUAACGGCGAGUGAAGCGGCAAAAGCUCAAAUUUGAAAUCUGGUACCUUCGGUGCCCGAGUUGUAAUUUGGAGAGGGCAACUUUGGGGCCGUUCCUUGUCUAUGUUCCUUGGAACAGGACGUCAUAGAGGGUGAGAAUCCCGUGUGGCGAGGAGUGCGGUUCUUUGUAAAGUGCCUUCGAAGAGUCGAGUUGUUUGGGAAUGCAGCUCUAAGUGGGUGGUAAAUUCCAUCUAAAGCUAAAUAUUGGCGAGAGACCGAUAGCGAACAAGUACAGUGAUGGAAAGAUGAAAAGAACUUUGAAAAGAGAGUGAAAAAGUACGUGAAAUUGUUGAAAGGGAAGGGCAUUUGAUCAGACAUGGUGUUUUGUGCCCUCUGCUCCUUGUGGGUAGGGGAAUCUCGCAUUUCACUGGGCCAGCAUCAGUUUUGGUGGCAGGAUAAAUCCAUAGGAAUGUAGCUUGCCUCGGUAAGUAUUAUAGCCUGUGGGAAUACUGCCAGCUGGGACUGAGGACUGCGACGUAAGUCAAGGAUGCUGGCAUAAUGGUUAUAUGCCGCCCGUCUUGAAACACGGACCAAA
This 588-nucleotide ribosomal RNA is filed under the name Saccharomyces cerevisiae (brewer's yeast). RNAcentral's name for it is "partial large subunit ribosomal RNA". It matches the Rfam family "Eukaryotic large subunit ribosomal RNA", at positions 68 to 670 of the family's 3401-position model. The record is from RNAcentral. Lineage: Eukaryota; Fungi; Ascomycota; Saccharomycetes; Saccharomycetales; Saccharomycetaceae.